Molecule: small RNA, 1767 nt
Filed under: Pan troglodytes (chimpanzee)
Lineage: Eukaryota; Metazoa; Chordata; Mammalia; Primates; Hominidae
Description: processed transcript
Source: RNAcentral
CUCUUCGGCUGGACGGAGGCUGCCUCCUCACGCGGCUCCCAACUAUUCCCGUAGCUCAGUGCCCCCCUCCCGCCGCUCUACUCAGCCAGGCAGACAGACUGACAGACUCGCUAGUCGGCAGCUUCACUCCCGAGGGUGCCGCGAGCCCAGGCGGCGAACACCCGGUACCCCUGGCGCAGAGAGGUGGGAUGCUGUACGGACAGCAGCGCUAAGUGCCCCCCACCCCCGGCGCGGGGUGCACUCGCUCCUGGCCGCGGGCCCAGCGGCGGCGGCGGCGGAGGGGAUGAGCCCGGGACGCGCGAGGCGCCUGCCUCAAGCUACCGCCCGGAGAGGGACGCCGAGUAGGGCUCAUCGCAGUACCGCGCGGACCCCUGCCCCCCGUGGCACGCGGCUGCGGAGCCUUGAAGCCGCGUCUGUGAUCAGGAUGCACUGGGCGCCUCGCAGCUGGUGAGGAUGCCCUGCUGCGCGGCCCUGCGCCCCCAGCCCCAGUCCCAGGUGGGCAAGACUGACUGGGCCCGGCUUCGGCCCCUCGUGCCGGUGGAUGAAACGUGCCGGAGUGCUUGGGUGCCAUCAGCUAUCAAAUCUGAAUUCUAAGCGCCAUGGACGAAGGCACUGGACUGCAGCCCGGGGCGGGAGAGCAGCUGGAGGCGCCGGCCACUGCAGAAGCUGUCCAGGAGAGGUGCGAGCCGGAGACCUUCAGGUCUAAGAGUUUACCGGUCCUCAGCAGCGCCUCCUGCCGGCCAAGCCUCAGUCCCACUAGUGGAGACGCCAACACGGCCUUUGGCUGUGUGGAUUCUUCGGGCCACCAGGAGUUGAAGCAAGGCCCGAACCCGUUGGCCCCCAGUCCCUCUGCCCCGUCCACUUCGGCGGGGCUCGGGGACUGUAACCACAGGGUGGACCUCAGCAAAACCUUCUCGGUGUCCUCCGCCUUGGCCAUGCUCCAGGAGAGAAGGUGCCUCUAUGUGGUCCUCACGGAUUCCCGUUGCUUCCUGGUGUGCAUGUGCUUUCUGACCUUCAUCCAGGCGUUAAUGGUCUCUGGGUACCUGAGCAGCGUAAUUACCACCAUUGAAAGGCGCUACAGUCUGAAGAGUUCCGAGUCGGGGCUGCUGGUCAGCUGCUUUGACAUCGGGAACCUGGUGGUGGUGGUGUUCGUCAGUUACUUCGGCGGCCGGGGUCGGCGGCCCCUGUGGCUGGCCGUGGGUGGACUCCUCAUCGCCUUCGGGGCAGCCCUCUUUGCCUUACCUCACUUCAUCUCGCCCCCCUACCAGAUCCAAGAGUUGAACGCCUCGGCCCCCAACGACGGCCUGUGUCAGGGUGGCAACUCCACCGCCACUUUGGAGCCUCCGGCCUGUCCGAAGGACUCGGGAGGAAAUAAUCACUGGGUCUACGUGGCUUUAUUCAUUUGCGCGCAGAUUCUCAUUGGAAUGGGCUCCACACCUAUUUAUACCCUGGGACCAACCUACAUAGAUGACAAUGUCAAGAAAGAAAACUCCUCCUUGUACCUAGCCAUCAUGUAUGUCAUGGGAGCACUUGGCCCUGCAGUGGGAUAUUUAUUAGGUGGACUUCUUAUUGGUUUUUAUGUUGAUCCCAGAAAUCCUGUUCACCUUGACCAGAAUGACCCUCGUUUCAUUGGAAACUGAUGACCUGGGUGGGCCCAGUGUAAUCAAAGGAAAGACGGAGUCAGGAGGGCAAGAAUCAAAGAAGGAGAUUCGAUGAUUAAAGCACAGGUUGGAGUGUUGUGCCUUGAAGAUGGAGGAAGGGGCUGCG